UACGAAGGGGGCUAGCGUUGCUCGGAAUCACUGGGCGGAAAGGGCGCGUAGGCGGCGUUUUAAGUCGGGGGUGAAAGCCUGUGGCUCAACCACAGAAUGGCCUUCGAUACUGGGACGCUUGAGUAUGGUAGAGGUUGGUGGAACUGCGAGUGUAGAGGUGAAAUUCGUAGAUAUUCGCAAGAACACCGGUGGCGAAGGCGGCCAACUGGACCAUUACUGACGCUGAGGCGCGAAAGCGUGGGGAGCAAACAGG
This 253-nucleotide ribosomal RNA is filed under the name uncultured bacterium. Its description in RNAcentral is "partial 16S ribosomal RNA". It matches the Rfam family "Bacterial small subunit ribosomal RNA", at positions 524 to 776 of the family's 1533-position model. The record is from RNAcentral.